UUCAGUAAAAUGAGGAGUUAUGUAGGAGAUGUUCAAAAUUCAUCCUUGUUUCCCGUCUUUCCCCAAUCUCUGAUAUCAGCACCGCCCAGCUCCGUCACCUCACACGACGCCGUUCCUCAAUGGCUUCGCAAUUCUAGCUUCACAACCGAUAUCUCCGUCAUAAACAACGAACUACGGUAAUAUCGAGAAUCUAGAAGACGAAGAAGGAUAUGAUACAGUAAAGGAAAAUGAAAUAGGAGAGGGAGCAAGGUAUGAGUUGCUGGACUCGUUCGCGUCGGAGCGGGGCCACAUUAUGACUAUACACUUUCUUCUUCUAGAAAAUGUGAUGUUCGAACUUGGGCUUCUUUUUCAGCUAAUACUAAUGUUUAAAGACUAGUAUUUAACUCUCGUGGCGAUCGAGACAAUUUAGCUUUUGGUACUCUCUACAGGUUUGGUGGGCAACGUCAACAGAAAACAAGAAGCUAGAACCACUAUCAGAAAUAUGGAACAGUCCUAGCCUGCGUAUAGUGCUGAAUGCAGAAUUGCAAGAUUGUAAACUCUAUUCUGUUAGUCACUGGAGUGGUGGCGAGGGCAACACGGUUUGAAGCAAUAUUUGCUUAUUCUAUUUCUUGAAGUGAUUCCAUACUCUGUUAGGAAACAACUUGGUCAGCAGACAAAUAAGGCACGAAAUAUCUAUAUGACUUGUUAGGGGGAAAUAGUUCUAAAAUAAGACAUUAAAUUUGAAAGGACUAGCUAAUCUUGGCCUUCAGUAUCCUUUAGGACAUAGAAACAACAAAUAAACUACAAAAUUGAACUGAAACUAAGUGGUGCCUUCAUUAAUAAGUCGUCUAAGCUCAUCUAACGUUGCAGUAAUAGCUAACAGAUGUUUUCUGUGGACUGUGUUUGAGAUUGUCUUAUGGACACUGGCUAACGUUGGUUGGAAGGAGCACAGGUAACUAUUAAUGAUGUAGUCUUUGUUUAAGACACCAGCACUUUUAUACCCAUUGAUCUCAGAAUCAUACACAUACAAAUGUCGAAGCUGUUUUAGGCGACGAUCUUCUAGGAGAAGCACAUGUUUGCUGUCAAUCCAGAUAGGGAAAACCAUCAAAAAGGUCAUGCCUCUUAAUGAAGUUGUCCAAAGUGUGGGAAAUUCUCCAAUUGCUGCUUACAUAAUCAUAAGUAGCAAUGAUUAUGGAUUUCUUGAAAACGCAAACAAGAGUAAGUAAACCUUGUGCCACCCCUAACCAUGUAUCAAAAUCGGGACUAAUUUUACCAUUGAUGGGAUCAUGAUGACUGAUCAUGAACUCAGGAAGGUCAAGAAUCGUAGCCUUUUCUUUUUUUGUAUUAAAAACAAUAACACGACCAUCAGUUCUUAGCCUAUACAAGGAAUCAUUCACGUAAACAGGUUUAAUACGGAGAGUCAAAUUGCUGAAAGUCACUCUAAAAUGGACUUCAUGCCACACACCAGAUCGCGCGGGUGAAAAUACAAAAAAUUGAUACCCUUGUUUAGCCAGCUUCACAAUGAUUACCAGUUUAUAUUGAUCUGAAGUGGGGUAAUCAACGGCUAAGCCUGCAUUACAAAAAAUCAUAAACUCAUCUAUAGGUUUUGGGUAUGAUAUCAAUUGGUGCGCUCCAGUUAUAGGAUUGAAAACACAGAAAUUCCUACACCUAUAAAAGUCAAGGAGAAGUAGACCCCUGCAUGAUGUCAAAACUAGGGGAAAGGUAAAAAAGAUGUCUCAUAGUGAGUGGUUGGGAAAGGAGGGUUUAUGGAGAUUUUGUGGAAGUGUUUGGGUACAUAUGAAUCAUAGAUGAAUAGUGUUGAAGAAAUCUUUUGAUGUGGAAAUCAAAUUUGAGAAAAUUUAA
This is a long non-coding RNA of Nicotiana tabacum (common tobacco), 1842 nucleotides long. RefSeq lists it as uncharacterized. NCBI's taxonomy places the organism in Eukaryota, Viridiplantae, Streptophyta, Magnoliopsida, Solanales, Solanaceae. The record is from RefSeq and is a predicted model, not a curated record.